AGAGUUUGAUCCUGGCUCAGGAUGAACGCUGGCGGCGUGCCUAACACAUGCAAGUCGAACGGGACUAUUUGGAGAUGAUUUCGGUCUGAUCCUUAUAGUUUAGUGGCGGACGGGUGAGUAACGCGUGGACAACCUGCCUUUCACAGGGGGAUAGCAGCUGGAAACGGCUGGUAAUACCGCAUACGCUCGUGUCACCGCAUGGUGAUAUGAGGAAAGAUUUAUCGGUGAAAGAUGGAUCCGCGUCUGAUUAGCCAGUUGGCGGGGUAACGGCCCACCAAAGCGACGAUCAGUAGCCGGCCUGAGAGGGCGGACGGCCACAUUGGGACUGAGACACGGCCCAGACUCCUACGGGAGGCAGCAGUGGGGGAUAUUGCACAAUGGGCGCAAGCCUGAUGCAGCGACGCCGCGUGAGUGAAGAAGUAUUUCGGUAUGUAAAGCUCUAUCAGCAGGGAAGAAAGGCCCGCAAGGGAGAUGACAGUACCUGACUAAGAAGCCCCGGCUAACUACGUGCCAGCAGCCGCGGUAAU
Molecule: ribosomal RNA, 527 nt
Filed under: uncultured bacterium
Lineage: Bacteria
Description: bacterial SSU rRNA
Rfam family: Bacterial small subunit ribosomal RNA
Source: RNAcentral